AUGAGGGUGAUCUGGCUGCUACAUCUGAUUGCCAGGGUUGAUUCGGCUGAUCUGGCUAGCUAAGUGGGUGACCCCUUCCUCCCUAUGUACAUACCUUCCAAACCUGCACGCUCAAAGAGGACAACCUUCCCUGAACAGAGAAGGACCGGUCUUUGGUCAAGGGUAUACAAGUAGCUACACUUCCCUGCUAGAACCUCCAAAGAAGCUCUCAGAGUAGAUUAAUCUCCCAAACAAGCCUAUCACACCCAUUGAGAUUGAAAAGGUAAUCAUAAACCUCCCCAAAAAGAAGAGUCCAGGACCAAAUGGCUUCUUAGUGAAUUC
RNAcentral lists this small nuclear RNA (321 nucleotides) under Jaculus jaculus (lesser Egyptian jerboa). Its description in RNAcentral is "7SK RNA (ENSJJAG00000003222.1)". The stretch from base 1 to 267 matches the Rfam family "7SK RNA". Rfam says of the family: 7SK was discovered as an abundant small nuclear RNA in the mid-70s but a possible function has only recently been suggested. Two independent studies have found that 7SK RNA binds the CDK9/cyclin T complex (known as elongation factor P-TEFb). The record is from RNAcentral. Lineage: Eukaryota; Metazoa; Chordata; Mammalia; Rodentia; Dipodidae.